AGCAGCCGCGGUAAUUCCAGCUCCAAUAGCGUAUAUUAAAGUUGUUGCAGUUAAAAGCUCGUAGUUGAAUUUCGGGGUCAGUAGAUUGGUCAUGCCUCCGGUAUGUACUGGUCUUACUGGCUCCUCCUUCCUGAUGAACCGUAAUGCCAUUAAUUUGGUGUUGCGGGGAGACUGGACUGUUACUUUGAAAAAUUAGAGUGUUUAAAGCAGGCUAACGCUUGAAUACAUUAGCAUGGAAUAAUGAAAUAGGACGUUCGAUCUUAUUUUGUUGGUUUCUAAGAUUGACGUAAUGAUUAAUAGGGAUAGUUGGGGGCAUUAGUAUUCAAUUGUCAGAGGUGAAAUUCUUGGAUUUAUUGAAGACUAACUACUGCGAAAGCAUUUGCCAAGGAUGUUUUCAUUAAUCAAGAACGAAAGUUAGGGAGUCGAAGACGAUCAGAUACCGUCGUAGUCUUAACCAUAAACUAUGCCGACUAGGGAUCGGAUGAUGUUUAAUUUUUUAAUGACUCAUUCGGCGCCUUAA
Molecule: unclassified non-coding RNA, 520 nt
Filed under: uncultured Glomus
Lineage: Eukaryota; Fungi; Glomeromycota; Glomeromycetes; Glomerales; Glomeraceae
Description: SSU rRNA
Rfam family: Eukaryotic small subunit ribosomal RNA
Source: RNAcentral